This 483-nucleotide ribosomal RNA is filed under the name Diaporthe sp. BRIP 64241. RNAcentral's name for it is "eukaryotic LSU rRNA". The stretch from base 123 to 276 matches the Rfam family "5.8S ribosomal RNA". The record is from RNAcentral. Lineage: Eukaryota; Fungi; Ascomycota; Sordariomycetes; Diaporthales; Diaporthaceae.
GUUGCCUCUGCCCUUGCUGGUCUCUAGUACGCCCCUCACCCCGGUGAGGAGACCGCACGCCGGCGGCCAAAACAACUCUGCUUUUUACACUGCAACUCUGAGAAAAAACACAAAUGAAUCAAAACUUUCAACAACGGAUCUCUUGGUUCUAGCAUCUAUGAAUAACGCAGCGAAAUGCGAUAAGUAAUGUGAAUUGCAGAAUUCAGUGAAUCAUCAAAUCUUUGAACGCACAUUGCCCCCUCUGGUAUUCCGGAGGGCAUGCCUGUUCUAGCGUCAUUUCAACCCUCAAGCAUUGCUUGGUGUUGGGGCACUGCUUUUCUUGCGAGAAGCAGGCCCUGAAAUCUAGUGGCGAGCUCCCCGGGACCCCGAGCGCAGUAGUUAAACCCUCGCUCUGGAAGGCCCUGGCGGUGCCCUGCCGUUGAACCCCGGGCGUUUGAGGAUUUGACCUCGGAUCAGGUACGACUACCCGCUGAACUUAAGCAU